This 561-nucleotide ribosomal RNA is filed under the name uncultured euryarchaeote. RNAcentral describes it as "bacterial SSU rRNA". It matches the Rfam family "Archaeal small subunit ribosomal RNA", at positions 322 to 879 of the family's 1478-position model. The record is from RNAcentral. Lineage: Archaea; Methanobacteriati; Methanobacteriota.
CCUACGGGGUGCAGCAGGCGCGAAAACUCCGCAAUGCGCGAAAACGUGACGGGGGAACCCCAAGUGCCGUUGGUCUUCGGAUCGACGGCUUUUAGGAAGUCUAAGAAGCUUCCGGAAUAAGGGCUGGGCAAGUCUGGUGCCAGCCGCCGCGGUAAUACCAGCAGCCCAAGUGGUGGUUACGAUUAUUGGGCCUAAAGCGCUCGUAGCCGGGCCGCUAAGUCCCUUGUGAAAUCGGACGGCUCAACCGUUCGGCUUGCAAGGGAUACUGUCGGCCUUGAGAUCGGGAGAGGCAGGGGGUACUCGGGGGGUAGCGGUGAAAUGCUGUAAUCCCCUGGGGACCACCAGUGGCGAAGGCGCCCUGCCAGAACGAAUCUGACGGUAAGGGGCGAAGGCGUGGGGAGCGAACGGGAUUAGAUACCCCGGUAGUCCACGCAGUAAAGGAUGCGGGUUGGGUGUUGGGUGCCCCUCGAGAGCACCUUGUGCCGUAGGGAAGCCGUUAAACCCGCCGCCUGGGAAGUACGGUCGCAAGGCUGAAACUUAAAGGAAUUGGCGGGGGAGCAC